GAGAGAUCAAAGACGGUGAACCAUCUUUCUUCGCUUCACGUUUCAUCAACGACUGAUAAAACUCAACAAGCUCAGGAGCUCUGUGAACUUUACUCCCGCUUCCCGCUCCUCUUCCAAGAGCUCCAGGAGGAGGCGGUGGCGGCGGAGGUCCACCACCGCCACCACCAGGUGGAGGAGGGGGAGGCGGUGGACCACCACCAGGCAAAGGAGGUCUAGGGGAAGGCACAUUAGUGCUUUUACCACCUCCAGCUGAUCUUGGAGGCGGGCGAGGCACUCUAGGUGGUCGUUUCUCAAUAUCCACAAGCUUCAUUUUCGCCACGGCUUGCGCGUUUUCGCUAGCUUUACCCUCGUUGUUGCCG
This 359-nucleotide long non-coding RNA is filed under the name Brassica napus (rape). Its description in RNAcentral is "long non-coding RNA (BNAP_LNC005566)". Lineage: Eukaryota; Viridiplantae; Streptophyta; Magnoliopsida; Brassicales; Brassicaceae. The record is from RNAcentral.